Transfer RNA from Cavia porcellus (domestic guinea pig), 64 nucleotides. It matches the Rfam family "tRNA". From Rfam's summary of the family: Transfer RNA (tRNA) molecules are approximately 80 nucleotides in length. Their secondary structure includes four short double-helical elements and three loops (D, anti-codon, and T loops). Further hydrogen bonds mediate the characteristic L-shaped molecular structure. tRNAs have two regions of fundamental functional importance: the anti-codon, which is responsible for specific mRNA codon recognition, and the 3' end, to which the tRNAs corresponding amino acid is attached (by aminoacyl-tRNA synthetases). tRNAs cope with the degeneracy of the genetic code in two manners: having more than one tRNA (with a specific anti-codon) for a particular amino acid; and 'wobble' base-pairing, i.e. permitting non-standard base-pairing at the 3rd anti-codon position. The record is from Rfam. NCBI's taxonomy places the organism in Eukaryota, Metazoa, Chordata, Mammalia, Rodentia, Caviidae.
GGGGAUUUAGCUCAGCGGCAUAAGCACCUGCCUUGGAAGCAGGCGGUCAUGAGUUCAAUCCCCG